This 810-nucleotide ribosomal RNA is filed under the name uncultured Gammaproteobacteria bacterium. RNAcentral's name for it is "bacterial SSU rRNA". It matches the Rfam family "Bacterial small subunit ribosomal RNA", at positions 527 to 1337 of the family's 1533-position model. Lineage: Bacteria; Pseudomonadati; Pseudomonadota; Gammaproteobacteria. The record is from RNAcentral.
AGAGGGUGCAAGCGUUAAUCGGAAUUACUGGGCGUAAAGCGAGCGUAGGUGGCUUGAUAAGUCAGAUGUGAAAUCCCCGGGCUUAACCUGGGAACUGCAUCUGAAACUGUUAGGCUAGAGUAGGUGAGAGGGAAGUAGAAUUUCAGGUGUAGCGGUGAAAUGCGUAGAGAUCUGAAGGAAUACCGAUGGCGAAGGCAGCUUCCUGGCAUCAUACUGACACUGAGGCUCGAAAGCGUGGGUAGCAAACAGGAUUAGAUACCCUGGUAGUCCACGCCGUAAACGAUGUCUACUAGUCGUUGGGUCCCUUGAGGACUUAGUGACGCAGCUAACGCAAUAAGUAGACCGCCUGGGGAGUACGGCCGCAAGGUUAAAACUCAAAUGAAUUGACGGGGGCCCGCACAAGCGGUGGAGCAUGUGGUUUAAUUCGAUGCAACGCGAAGAACCUUACCUGGUCUUGACAUAUCUAGAAUCCUGCAGAGAUGCGGGAGUGCCUUCGGGAAUUAGAAUACAGGUGCUGCAUMGGCUGUCGUCACUCGUGUCGUGAGAUGUUGGGUUAAGUCCCGCAACGAGCGCAACCCUUGUCCUUAGUUACCAGCGGGUUAAGCCGGGAACUCUAAGGAUACUGCCAGUGGCAAACUGGAGGAAGGCGGGGACGACGUCAAGUCAUCAUGGCCCUUACGACCAGGGCUACACACGUGCUACAAUGGUAGGUACAAAGGGCUGCUACACAGCGAUCUGCUCCGAAUCUCAAAAAGCCUAUCGUCACUCCACCUUGGAGUCUGCAACUCGACUCCAUCGAGUAGAUCGCUA